This 2223-nucleotide unclassified non-coding RNA is filed under the name Leishmania donovani. Its description in RNAcentral is "gene:unknown". The record is from RNAcentral. Lineage: Eukaryota; Euglenozoa; Kinetoplastea; Trypanosomatida; Trypanosomatidae.
UUGUCGCGUGCAACAGUUUUGUGCCGUGGUGCACAUCUUGCCGCUGCUUGGCAACAUGCGCGAGGAAGGGAAAGGCAUGGGCACGACGAAACCUGCCCGGCGGUGGCGAGGGCAGCGGCCCCGAAGCGUCGCAUGUCGUUUUGCCGCGGCGCUUGUGCGCCUCUGCGAACGUAAGAUCCACGACGGCACUCUGCAUCUCCCUCUUUCCCUCCCUCCCUCGCGUGCGCGUGCAUGAGUGGCGACCGCUUGUGCGGUUGUUAUUUAGAAGCAGUGCCCGCUCACCCAAAGGAACGGGGAUGCGGGGGCCCGUUGUGCCAGCCUCGCAUGCGUAUGAGGGGGCAAGAAACAAGAAACAAGUGGAGCAGGAUGACAGGCAGCUGCCUGGCUGCCCAACGAAUACACUGCACGACAAGAAUGACCAGUGUCAAUCUCCACACGUAGGACAUUCUCCUCUUCUUUUUUUUCCGGUGAUGAUUUCGUGUGCCGCUCGUUCUCUAGCGCGCGCUCUCUAUGGGCGUCAAGUUGUGUGUGUUGUCGCUUCGAUUUCCUCGCUGCCUCGCUCCCCUCCCCUCCACCCCCUCCGGCACGCCGUUUUGUGUUGAUGGUGCGACUGGCCUGUCAUCCUCCCCUUUCCUUCGGAACCUCCGUCGUCGACACACAGCACACGCGCGCUGCCGCCGGCGCGCUCCUGUGCGAGCAUUUUCUCCUAUUCUUCCUCCGCUGUGUGUGUAGCCAUUUAGCGUGUGAGAGUGACCAGAAGGAAGGAAGCGGCACAUGGGCGCGGCCCGCCGUCCGCGGAUGGCCUCCUUGCCUUCGCUUCGCCCCCCCCCUCCGCAUUUCUUUCACGUCCACUCUGGGGUUGGAGUAGGGGAUGGGGGUUGUGAGAAGUCAUUGCAGGUAUUUGUCCUCCAAGAGAACGUGCCGACCCUCGUCUUCUCUGAAGUUCUUCGUUUUUUUUUUUGGCGUCAUCUGCUCCCGGAUCCAGGACCCGGACUCUGCAACGUAGCGGGCGGACGAAGAGAGCAAGGACGCAAGCCGAACCGAGGUAUUCGCACGGAUUGGGAAAGCUGGAUGCAACGACUCAACCGGGAAGUGCGGAAAGACAGCGAGGGCAUUGGGAACAGACGACAUAGUAGGCGGCAAGGCCGUGGGAACGCAAGACGUGAAUGCCGGGCUCAUGAAGGAGUGGCCAAAGAUAGGCAUCAGCUCGUCACCGUGAGACCCCAGCCCUUGGUCUCCUCCGCUGUUCUCUCUUUCUGCGCUUGUGUUUCGCGGUCGUUGACGUCGGCUCCGCCUGCUUGUCCCUUUCUGAGUAGGUGAGCCCUCCCUCCCCCCUGACUCUGAGUGUGUGCCCCUCGCGCUGAGUUGAGGCACACGUUGUUUGUCAUUUGUUUCCUACACGCACCUAUCGUUCCUGCUUUAAAUUACGUCUUGCCUUCUUAUUGCGGCGAAACCGCCUUCCGCUGUCCUCCUACCUCUUCCCUCUCCUGCCGUUCCAACGCGCCGCUCCCUCCCGCAUGUGGUACUUUCACCCUUUUCGUCCAAUUCUCUUCGCAUGUUUGUAUGUGUGUCGAUGGUCACGCCUGCGAUUCCGUCUCAGCGCUUAUUUCUUCGCUCUUUCCCUCCACCCCCUCCCUUUCCCCCUUCGCAUUCCUUGUAACUUUUCUGCGCGCCUCCUCUGACGGCGAAUCCCACCCACACAAUGCCUUGUGUGUGUCUGUGUGUGUGCGUGUGUGUGAUUUGUUGGUUUCACUUUCCACUGUACGACAUCUCUGCCUUCUAUAGAUGUUGGUGCUGACGUUCUGCAAGGUCUUCCAUGUACAUAUAUAUAUAUAUAUGUGUGUGUGCCUGUGUGUUCUCCUCCGACGCUGCGCUCCCUCGCUGUCGCACUGAGAUGGGCGUCGUAAAACGUCGGCCUCUGCGAGCAUGUGUGGGUGUGUGCUGGCUUUUGUCUUGUCGGGUGAGAGUGCGAACGGGACGGGCAGUGCCGCUCACGCAUCUCUCCUUUGGGUGUUGUUUUGUUUUCUCUAAGUGCGUGUGUGCCCCGAUGAAGCCGGCCACCCAAACGCGCGGUAGCUCAGCGUCCAGUGCCCCCACUCUGAGUGUUUGGGGGGGAGAGCCAGAGCAGCCCAUCGCUGCUGAUGUCGGCGGUGAGGUCCUGGGUGGCGUGGCGUCGGAGCGACCUGCACUACUGAGCACGCUUGCGCCAUCCAUAUUAUGAUC